CGGCAGCAGUGAGGAAUAUUGCGCAAUGGGGGAAACCCUGACGCAGCGACGCCGCGUGAGUGAUGAAGGCUUUCGGGUCGUAAAGCUCUGUCAAGUGGGAAGAACCCGCCGGAGGAUAAUACCCUUCGGCGCUGACGGUACCACUGAAGGAAGCACCGGCUAACUCCGUGCCAGCAGCCGCGGUAAUACGGGGGGUGCAAGCGUUAUUCGGAUUUAUUGGGCGUAAAGGGCACGUAGGCGGCCGUUUAAGUCAGAUGUGAAAUCCCGGGGCUCAACCCCGGAAGUGCAUUUGAAACUGGACGGCUUGAGUAUGGGAGAGGGAAGUGGAAUUCCAGGUGUAGAGGUGAAAUUCGUAGAUAUCUGGAGGAACACCGGUGGCGAAGGCGACUUCCUGGACCAAUACUGACGCUGAGGUGCGAAGGCGUGGGGAGCAAACAGGAUUAGAUACCCCAGUAGUC
RNAcentral lists this ribosomal RNA (458 nucleotides) under uncultured microorganism. RNAcentral describes it as "bacterial SSU rRNA". It matches the Rfam family "Bacterial small subunit ribosomal RNA", at positions 346 to 795 of the family's 1533-position model. The record is from RNAcentral.